UCCGUUACCGCCGCCCGGGCCGACUCUUUUCAUUUCGUUUUCUCUGUUUCGAUAAGGCUGAGGGGGAGCUCGAGCGGGGAGCAGAGGAUGCGAUUCUCCCCGUCCAUGGCGAUUUCGAGAUCUCCCACCGCCUGAGCUUGAUCUCUCUUCCCUUUCUCUUCGCCCCCUGUGUCAUGAUUCAUGUUAUAGAACAGGUUUGUGUCCCAGGGAUUACAUUCUCCUCCCCCAUCUUCGCUUGCUGCCACUUCAUUAUGCAAGUUUGCCUCCAAUGUCUGCAAAUAUGAAUAAAAUUCCUUCAGAUUUUGUUAAUGAAAGAGGUGAAGAGAGAUGAUGGUGAGGAGUUUGUGUACGAUUGUUGCUGACCUGUUGAUUCCCCGAUCUCCCAUGGCCGCCUCUCCCUUUCCCAUGGGCGCCUCCCAGAUUUGUUCUAGGCUGGUAGGUGAGAUCUUUGUAGUGGUUGAUGGCAAUUGGCGUGUUUUGUUGUGCCUGGGAUCGGACAAAUCGGGUCAGAUGUUUACCCGACCCGUUUAGACGAUCAGGAGGUUUUUUUUAGCUAUCUGCUGAUUUUCCUGCUCACUCACGUGUAAUGUGUUGAUUGGUCAGGAAAUUUGACUGUUUUCGAAUUGAAAAACAGUCAAAUGUCAAAUAGACAGUCCUUACUUUAUAUAUAGCUCACUUCUACAUCGUUGGAUGAAUCCCUCCAAACGAAUGACAAGGGGCUGGUCUGACGAAA
Molecule: non-coding RNA, 733 nt
Organism: Triticum urartu
Lineage: Eukaryota; Viridiplantae; Streptophyta; Magnoliopsida; Poales; Poaceae
Source: RefSeq, a predicted model, not a curated record